Molecule: ribosomal RNA, 721 nt
Filed under: uncultured Pseudomonadota bacterium
Lineage: Bacteria; Pseudomonadati; Pseudomonadota
Description: bacterial SSU rRNA
Rfam family: Bacterial small subunit ribosomal RNA
Source: RNAcentral
GUCGAACGGCAGCACGGGUGCUUGCACCUGGUGGCGAGUGGCGAACGGGUGAGUAAUAUAUCGGAACGUACCUUAUCGUGGGGGAUAACGCAGCGAAAGCUGCGCUAAUACCGCAUACGCCCUGAGGGGGAAAGCGGGGGACCGUAAGGCCUCGCGCGAUUAGAGCGGCCGAUAUCUGAUUAGCUUGUUGGUGGGGUAAAAGCCCACCAAGGCGACGAUCAGUAGCUGGUCUGAGAGGACGAUCAGCCACACUGGGACUGAGACACGGCCCAGACUCCUACGGGAGGCAGCAGUGGGGAAUUUUGGACAAUGGGGGCAACCCUGAUCCAGCAAUGCCGCGUGAGUGAAGAAGGCCUUCGGGUUGUAAAGCUCUUUUGUCAGGGAAGAAACAGCAGCUCUAACACAGUCUGCGAAUGACGGUACCUGAAGAAUAAGCACCGGCUAACUACGUGCCAGCAGCCGCGGUAAUACGUAGGGUGCAAGCGUUAAUCGGAAUUACUGGGCGUAAAGCGUGCGCAGGCGGUUAUACAAGACAGGCGUGAAAUCCCCGGGCUUAACCUGGGAAUGGCGUCUGUGACUGUAUGACUAGAGUGUGUCAGAGGGGGGUAGAAUUCCACGUGUAGCAGUGAAAUGCGUAGAUAUGUGGAGGAAUACCAAUGGCGAAGGCAGCCCCCUGGGAUAACACUGACGCUCAUGCACGAAAGCGUGGGGAGCAAACAGG